AAAAACAUCGCCUCUUGUUUAAAUAUAAGAGGUCCAGCCUGCCCAGUGAUAAUUUAUUCAACGGCCGCGUAAUUUAAAGCGCGCAAAGGUAGCGUAAUCACUUGUUCUUUAAAUGAGGACUCGAAUCAACGGCACCACGAGGGCUAUACUGUCUCCUUCCCCCAAUCAGUGAAACUAAUCCCCCUGUGAAAAAGCAGGGAUAUCCCUAUAAGACGAGAAGACCCCAUGGAGCUUUAAACAUAACAGCAUCUUUAAAAUUUCAUACACCCACCUUAUUAACAUGAAAGCAUUGUGCGUUAGUUUUAGGUUGGGGCGACCGCGGAGUAUAAGAAAACCUCCACAACGAAAGGGAAUAAGCCCUUACUUGAGAAAAACAUUUCUACAAAUUAUUAAUAUAACGUUUAAUGACCCGAUUAUCGAUUAACGAACCAAGUUACCCUGGGGAUAACAGCGCAAUCCAUUUUGAGAGCUCAUAUUGACAAAUGGGUUUACGACCUCGAUGUUGGAUCAGGGUAUCCCAGUGGUGCAGCCGCUACUAAAGGUUUGUUUGUUCAACAAUUAAAACCCU
RNAcentral lists this ribosomal RNA (568 nucleotides) under Occidozyga martensii (round-tongued floating frog). Its description in RNAcentral is "partial large subunit ribosomal RNA". It matches the Rfam family "Bacterial large subunit ribosomal RNA", at positions 1809 to 2597 of the family's 2925-position model. Lineage: Eukaryota; Metazoa; Chordata; Amphibia; Anura; Dicroglossidae. The record is from RNAcentral.